GGUUCAGGACGAACGCUGGCGGCGUGCCUAAUACAUGCAAGUCGAACGGUCUUUCUAUGGAAGCUUGCUUCCACUGAGAAGAUAGUGGCGAACGGGUGAGUAACACGUGGGUAACCUGCCCAUAAGAGGGGGGAUAACAUCCGGAAACGGGUGCUAAUACCGCAUAGUUUUCUUGAUCGCAUGAUCGGGAAAGGAAAGACGGCCUUUGUGCUGUCGCUUAUGGAUGGACCCGCGGCGUAUUAGUUAGUUGGUGAGGUAACGGCUCACCAAGACGAUGAUACGUAGCCGACCUGAGAGGGUGAUCGGCCACAUUGGGACUGAGACACGGCCCAAACUCCUACGGGAGGCAGCAGUAGGGAAUCUUCCGCAAUGGACGAAAGUCUGACGGAGCAACGCCGCGUGAGUGAAAGAAGGUUUUCGGAUCGUAAAACUCUGUUGUCAGAGAAGAACAAGUUGGAGAGUAACUGCUCCAGCCUUGACGGUAUCUGACCAGAAAGCCACGGCUAACUACGUGCCAGCCGCCGC
RNAcentral lists this ribosomal RNA (525 nucleotides) under uncultured bacterium. RNAcentral's name for it is "bacterial SSU rRNA". It matches the Rfam family "Bacterial small subunit ribosomal RNA", at positions 21 to 518 of the family's 1533-position model. The record is from RNAcentral.